GGCACAAACCUGAAGUAGAGUACUCUAGUAGGGUCGGACGAUCUUACUAACCUAGUUUACUUCGAAUUUGGGCCC
This 75-nucleotide microRNA precursor is filed under the name Haemonchus placei. Its description in RNAcentral is "mir-5928 microRNA precursor family". It matches the Rfam family "mir-5928 microRNA precursor family". The record is from Rfam by way of RNAcentral. Lineage: Eukaryota; Metazoa; Nematoda; Chromadorea; Rhabditida; Trichostrongylidae.